This 959-nucleotide long non-coding RNA is filed under the name Homo sapiens (human). RNAcentral's name for it is "HSALNT0045204". Lineage: Eukaryota; Metazoa; Chordata; Mammalia; Primates; Hominidae. The record is from RNAcentral.
UUUGGAUCACAGGUGAAGACCCCUCAUGGCUUGGUGCUGUCAUUAUGAUAGUGAGAGAGUUCUUGGGAGAUCUGGCUAUUUAAACGUAUGUGGCAUCUUCCUCCUUUCUCCCUUUCUCCUGCUCUCACCGUGUGAUGUGCCGCUCCUGCUUUGCUUUUUGCCAUGAGUAAAAGCUUCCUAAGUCCUCUAUGGAAGUGGAGCACAUGUUGAUGCCAUGCUUCCUGUACAGUCUGCAGAACUAUGCUGCCUAAGAAUCCAUUUUGACUUCACGGGGAUGAAACAUUGGCUUGCCUCUGCAUCAGUCCAUCAGUGAACCACUUGGAAGAUCAAAGACCCAACUUUAAUUUUUUGAGGUCAAGGUUCUUAUUGCCCACCUUGGUACCAGCAAGCCAGAACAAAACCACAUGCAACACAGGCUCCUGUCUCACCACUGCCUGCUACUGGAGCUGAGGUGAAGAGUGAAGAAAACAAGCAGGAUGUAGAAAACGUGAAAUGAUUCAAAACUUACACUAACUCAGUUCAAGCAGGCACUCAAAGUCAUAGAAGAUCAUGAGAUGCUAGGUAUGUUGAGAAUCUUUUACAAUCUUACAUAGGGCAUAGAUCUUGAUACAGCAUAGCCUGAGAUUUAAGACCAGUUACUGAGCAAGAAGAUCUAGUUAACAGUUUAAUCAAAUAUAAUUUGUGCAGAGGAUCUCCAAUCAUGCAAUACAAACAUAUAAGUUAAAAAAUAUAUUAGCUUUGAUUGUGGCCAAAAUUUACAGUUUAAUUUUAUUUGACAUGAACCCAAAUAAGUUUUUACCUAGUCUGAAUGCUUCCAAUGUUUUGAUUUUUGUAUAAUUAAUCAUUUUUUUCAGGUUGUUAUAAAUUACUUUUGUUUUUGGUCUAUAGAAUUGGCUUACAGGAUCUUUCAACAAGCCACAUUCAAAAGCUCUUAAGAUGUAGUUAAUAGUACCUACAUU